CAGCCGCCACGGGAAUACGUAGGGUGCGAGCGUUAAUCGGAAUUACUGGGCGUAAAGCGUGCGCAGGCGGUUCGUUAAGACAGAUGUGAAAUCCCCGGGCUUAACCUGGGAACUGCAUUUGUGACUGGCGAGCUAGAGUAUGGCAGAGGGGGGUAGAAUUCCACGUGUAGCAGUGAAAUGCGUAGAGAUGUGGAGGAAUACCGAUGGCGAAGGCAGCCCCCUGGGCCAAUACUGACGCUCAUGCACGAAAGCGUGGGGAGCAAACAGGAUUAGAUACCCGCGUAGUCCCUGUCUCUUAUAC
This 301-nucleotide ribosomal RNA is filed under the name uncultured bacterium. RNAcentral describes it as "partial 16S ribosomal RNA". It matches the Rfam family "Bacterial small subunit ribosomal RNA", at positions 509 to 807 of the family's 1533-position model. The record is from RNAcentral.